Molecule: non-coding RNA, 1082 nt
Organism: Cricetulus griseus (Chinese hamster)
Lineage: Eukaryota; Metazoa; Chordata; Mammalia; Rodentia; Cricetidae
Source: RefSeq, a predicted model, not a curated record
GACAAUCACAGAAUAUCAGGAACGUUUAUUAUUGUGUUGUGGUGCUGAGCACGCUGUGAUGUGUCCUGUUAAACACACAAGUCCUGGGCUGAGUGAUGGAGGGCACCGAAGGCUCCAUGGUGCAAGCCUUACAUCUUCCAGACCGAGGGGCUCUGCGUACCUGGCAGAGCGGGGCUGGCACGGGAAGAGUGAAGGGUGUGGCUGCCAGCCUUCAAGGUGGAGCAGAGAGCCCUGGCUUAGUCUUUAAGCUCUUGUGUCGUUUCCUUCCAUGAUGUAUGGUCAACAAAACAUAGCAGCAGUGCUGGGAUGUGCUGUGAAGCCUGGCUCAAAGAUAGCAUCUGCCUUAACUUCUUGCUUGAGGUACUCACUGUGGAAGAAGCCAGCUUCCACAGUGUAAGAGAGUUCAUGCAGCCACCUUGGGGGCCUAUGUGAUGGAGAACGGAACCCUCCUGCCACCAACCGUGUGAGGAAUCAUCAUGGCUGCAUAUCCUCUGGCCCCAUGAAGCCCCCACGUGCUGCCAGCCUGUUCAAUAUCUUGACCACUGCUCCAUGAGGAACCCUGAGCCAGAACCACCCUACUGAACUUCUUCCAAGUUCCUGCCGCUCGGCGCUGUGAGAGAUGAUGAAUGGAGCUGCAGACUUGCUAUUGUAGUGCUGUUUAAGCCUAUUGAAGAAAAGAGGGAAAGAGAGAAGAUGGAAAGAAGAGAAGAGAAGGCGCUCGAGCCGGGUGGUGGUGAGAAUUUUCUGAUGCUGAGCUGUUUUCCAGAGUAAAGACUCUGAGCAAUGGUGUCAUCUUGUGGCUACAAAUAGGAAUCGCAGCCAGCCAUGUCCCCCAACGUGGGGACAUUUUAACUGAAAGUGCAAGAAAACAAGCUGUAGUUCCUCUACACUAGACAACAAUAGCUCCACACUUGGUAUAUUCACAUACCUUUGGGGUGAGUCCAUAAUUAACUCAGUGAAAUAAUAGGGUUUGAUAUUUGAGUCACCCCUAACUGUAAGAUUUCUUCACUCAUUCAGUAAAUAGUUACUUACUAUUUUCGUAAGACUCUGGGACCCAGCUGUAAAAAAAAUAAAAAAUAAAA